This 497-nucleotide ribosomal RNA is filed under the name uncultured bacterium. Its description in RNAcentral is "partial 16S ribosomal RNA". It matches the Rfam family "Bacterial small subunit ribosomal RNA", at positions 28 to 507 of the family's 1533-position model. The record is from RNAcentral.
GAUGAACGCUGGCGGCGUGCCUAAUACAUGCAAGUCGAACGAACAGACGAGGAGCUUGCUUCCUUGACCAUAGCGGGUGACUUGCGAGUAGCACGUGGACAACCUACCUAUAAGACUGGGAUCACUGCGGGAAACCGGAGCUAAUAACGUAUAACAUGAUAAACUUAAUUGUUCCACAGUCAAAGACGGUAUUGCUGACACAUACAGAUGGAUCGGCGCCGAGUUAGCUAUUGGGUAAGGGACGGGCUUACCAAGGCAACGAUGCUUAGCAGACCUGAGAGGGUGAUCGCCCAGCCGGGAACUGAGACAGGGUCCAGACUCCUACGGGGGGAAGCGGUAGGGAAUCUUCCGAAAGGGGCGAAGGCCUGACGGGGCAACGCCGGGUGAGUGAAGAGGGUCUUCGGACGGUAAAACUCUGUGAUUAGGGAAGAACAAAUGUGUAAGUAACUAUGCACGUCUUGACGGUACCUAAUCAGAAAGCCACGGCUAACUACGUG